Molecule: long non-coding RNA, 463 nt
Organism: Myotis lucifugus (little brown bat)
Lineage: Eukaryota; Metazoa; Chordata; Mammalia; Chiroptera; Vespertilionidae
Exons: 2
Source: RefSeq, a predicted model, not a curated record
AAAAAGCAGGAAUAUGAUUUCCUGCCUUAAGUAGCAUAUGUUUUUGCACCAGAUUCCCAAGAUGUGGUCAAACUGAUGAUGUCACUGGACAGAGGACAAGUUAAACACUCAGGUUUUCACUGUUGCCUAGAUUCUGCUGACAGGACUAGUAAAGAGCAAAAGAAGAAUCAGCAACCUCUCGAUGUAUCAGAUUAUUUUUUAAGUACCGUCCAGGACCCUGGGUAUUCAUCCGGAAAAGGAGCCAUAUUAUUAAUUUUUUCAAAAAGACAAUGUGAAAAGCACAAAUCUAAGCUCAAUAUGAGUAUUGGUUGUAGUAGCUUUAUGCAGCCUGCAAUAUUAAGUACAGUUUGUCACGUGAUUUAUUUCCUCAUCCGCUGCGUCACUUUAUCGGUUUUUAUGUUGGAACUAUAGCAAUAAUGUAUAUGUAAAAUUAGUAAAAUAAUAAAAAUUAUGGUUGGUCUUA